RNAcentral lists this ribosomal RNA (253 nucleotides) under uncultured bacterium. RNAcentral describes it as "partial 16S ribosomal RNA". It matches the Rfam family "Bacterial small subunit ribosomal RNA", at positions 524 to 776 of the family's 1533-position model. The record is from RNAcentral.
UACGUAGGGUGCUAGCGUUGUUCGGAAUCACUGGGCGUAAAGGGAGCGUAGGCGGAACUGUAAGUCAGAAGUUUAAUGCACAGGCUUAACCUGUACGUGGCUUUUGAUACUGCUGUUCUUGAGUAUGGGAGAGGAUGAUGGAAUUCCAGGUGUAGCGGUGGAAUGCGUAGAUAUCUGGAAGAACACCAGGUGCGAAGGCGGUCAUCUGGCCCAAUACUGACGCUGAGGCUCGAAAGCUAGGGGAGCAAACAGG